Molecule: ribosomal RNA, 343 nt
Filed under: Salmonella enterica subsp. enterica serovar Paratyphi B
Lineage: Bacteria; Pseudomonadati; Pseudomonadota; Gammaproteobacteria; Enterobacterales; Enterobacteriaceae
Description: partial 23S ribosomal RNA
Rfam family: Bacterial large subunit ribosomal RNA
Source: RNAcentral
GGGAGAGGAAAUUGUUUCCUCGAGUCGUUGAUUUCACACUGCCGAGAAAAGCCUCUAGAUAGAUAAUAGGUGCCCGUACCGCAAACCGACACAGGUAGUCAAGAUGAGAAUUCUAAGGUGAGCGAGCGAACUCUCGUUAAGGAACUCGGCAAAAUGACCCCGUAACUUCGGGAGAAGGGGUGCUCUUUAGGGUGCAAGCCCAGAAGAGCCGCAGUGAAUAGGCCCAAGCGACUGUUUAUCAAAAACACAGGUCUCUGCUAAACCGUAAGGUGAUGUAUAGGGGCUGACGCCUGCCCGGUGCUGGAAGGUUAAGAGGAGUGGUUAGCUUCUGCGAAGCUACGAA